AGAGUUUGAUCAUGGCUCAGAACGAACGCUGGCGGCGUGCUUAACACAUGCAAGUCGAACGCGAAAGUUUUCUUCGGAAGACGAGUAGAGUGGCGCACGGGUGAGUAACGCGUAAGUAAUCUGCCCCGGCAUCUGGAAUAACUCACCGAAAGGUGUGCUAAUACCGGAUACGCUGGUAACAGGAAAGGUGGCCUCUGUAUAUGCUACCGUGCCGGGAGGAGCUUGCGUACCAUUAGCUAGUUGGUAGGGUAAUGGCCUACCAAGGCGACGAUGGUUAGCGGGUCUGAGAGGAUGAUCCGCCACACUGGAACUGAAACACGGACCAGACUCCUACGGGAGGCAGCAGUGAGGAAUAUUGCGCAAUGGGGGAAACCCUGACGCAGCGACGCCGCGUGGAUGAUGAAGGCCUUCGGGUCGUAAAAUCCUGUCAGAUGGAAAGAAAUGCAGCAUGCCUAAUACGUGUGCUGUUUGACGGUACCAUCAAAGGAAGCACCGGCUAACUCCGUGCCAGCAGCCGCGGUAAUACGGAGGGUGCAAGCGUUGUUCGGAAUUACUGGGCGUAAAGGGCGCGUAGGCGGUUUGUUAAGUCAGAUGUGAAAGUCCACGGCUCAACCAUGGAAGUGCAUUUGAAACUGGCAGACUUGAGUACUGGAGGGGGUGGUGGAAUUCCCGGUGUAGAGGUGAAAUUCGUAGAUAUCGGGAGGAAUACCGGUGGCGAAGGCGACCACCUGGCCAGAUACUGACGCUGAGGUGCGAAAGCGUGGGGAGCAAACAGGAUUAGAUACCCUAGUAGUCC
This 796-nucleotide ribosomal RNA is filed under the name uncultured bacterium. RNAcentral's name for it is "bacterial SSU rRNA". It matches the Rfam family "Bacterial small subunit ribosomal RNA", at positions 8 to 796 of the family's 1533-position model. The record is from RNAcentral.